Long non-coding RNA from Herpailurus yagouaroundi (jaguarundi), 666 nucleotides. RefSeq lists it as uncharacterized. The record is from RefSeq and is a predicted model, not a curated record. The transcript has 2 exons. NCBI's taxonomy places the organism in Eukaryota, Metazoa, Chordata, Mammalia, Carnivora, Felidae.
UUCUCAGCCAUUUACCUGCCACGUGGCUUGGACAAGGCUUUCAACGUCACCCGGUGCCGGCCUGACUACAUCUCAUUUUCCAGGGAUCAGUGUCUGCAUGUUGUGUUUCUCCUACAGAUUUCUCACCAGUCGAAGGCACCGGCGCAUUCAUUCAUUCGGACGCCCGUCCCAUCUGGGGUAGAUAUAUGCGAACUGCCUUCAGGAAGCUGAAGAGAGACAAGUAGCUGGAAAGUACAACCACAGCGUUCUCCAAGUGGAGUUUCAUUUCGAGAACUAGCAUGUCUGCGUGGCGAUCAGAUGGAUGAAACGAAUAAGAGAGAGAAAAUGCCAAGGAGAUGUGGCUGCACAGGAGCAGAGCUGGGGAGGAGGAACCAGCGACGGGGAGGAGCAGAGGCCCCGAAGUCUGUGGCUGAACUGCGCCCUUACACUGAAUACCAGGGGUUAAUGUGCCAUAAUAAAAUCAGUGUGAACACUGCCAAAGAGGCCUGAGCAGACCCUCCAGUAAGUAAUUAAUUCUGGCUGCUUUCCGCUCUCCAGCUUUCAUCAUUCUUAAUGUUACCUAAUUGUAAAAUUAUUCUUCAAACUUUCCUACUAUAAAGGAAGAAAAUGCCCAGAUCUAGCUCGCUUUUCUUGAGGGCAUGGGUGCCUCCUGCGUCUUGGUAGAAG